This 443-nucleotide ribosomal RNA is filed under the name uncultured bacterium. RNAcentral's name for it is "partial 16S ribosomal RNA". It matches the Rfam family "Bacterial small subunit ribosomal RNA", at positions 338 to 795 of the family's 1533-position model. The record is from RNAcentral.
CCUACGGGUGACUGCAGUGGGGAAUAUUGGGCAAUGGGCGCAAGCCUGACCCAGCAACGCCGCGUGAAGGAAGAAGGCUUUCGGGUUGUAAACUUCUUUUAUCAGGGACGAAGCAAGUGACGGUACCUGAUGAAUAAGCCACGGCUAACUACGUGCCAGCAGCCGCGGUAAUACGUAGGUGGCAAGCGUUAUCCGGAUUUACUGGGUGUAAAGGGCGGGUAGGCGGGAGGGCAAGUCAGAUGUGAAAACUAUGGGCUCAACCCAUAGCCUGCAUUUGAAACUGUACUUCUUGAGUGCUGGGGAGGCAAUCGGAAUUCCGGGUGUAGCGGUGAAAUGCGUAGAUAUAAUGAAGAACAACGAUGGCGAAGGCAGGUUGCCGGGCAGUAACGGACGCUGAGGCGGGAAAGCGUGGGGAGCAAACAGGAUUAGAUACCCUUGUAGUC